UACGUAGGGCGCAAGCGUUUGUCCGGAAUUAUUGGGCGUAAAGAGCUCGUAGGCGGUUUGUCGCGGUCUGCUGUGAAAACCUAAGGCUCAACCUUGGGCUUGCAGUGGGUACGGGCAGACUAGAGUGCGGUAGGGGUGACUGGAAUUCCUGGUGUAGCGGUGGAAUGCGCAGAUAUCAGGAGGAACACCGGUGGCGAAGGCGGUUCUCUGGGCAUGUCCU
RNAcentral lists this ribosomal RNA (220 nucleotides) under uncultured bacterium. RNAcentral's name for it is "partial 16S ribosomal RNA". It matches the Rfam family "Bacterial small subunit ribosomal RNA", at positions 524 to 741 of the family's 1533-position model. The record is from RNAcentral.